GCGUCCGUAGCUCAGUUGGAUAGAGUACCUGGCUACGAACCAGGCGGUCAGAGGUUCGAAUCCUCUCGGACGCGCCA
This 77-nucleotide transfer RNA is filed under the name Vibrio cholerae. RNAcentral describes it as "tRNA-Arg(acg)". It matches the Rfam family "tRNA". From Rfam's summary of the family: Transfer RNA (tRNA) molecules are approximately 80 nucleotides in length. Their secondary structure includes four short double-helical elements and three loops (D, anti-codon, and T loops). The record is from RNAcentral. Lineage: Bacteria; Pseudomonadati; Pseudomonadota; Gammaproteobacteria; Vibrionales; Vibrionaceae.